This 506-nucleotide ribosomal RNA is filed under the name uncultured bacterium. RNAcentral's name for it is "partial 16S ribosomal RNA". It matches the Rfam family "Bacterial small subunit ribosomal RNA", at positions 29 to 523 of the family's 1533-position model. The record is from RNAcentral.
AGUGAACGCUGGCGGUAGGCCUAACACAUGCAAGUCGAACGGCAGCACAGAGGAGCUUGCUCCUUGGGUGGCGAGUGGCGGACGGGUGAGGAAUACAUCGGAAUCUACUCUGUCGUGGGGGAUAACGUAGGGAAACUUACGCUAAUACCGCAUACGACCUACGGGUGAAAGCAGGGGACCUUCGGGCCUUGCGCGAUUGAAUGAGCCGAAGUCGGAUUAGCUAGUUGGCGGGGUAAAGGCCCACCAAGGCGACGAUCCGUAGCUGGGCUGAGGAGAUGAUCAGCCACACUGGAACUGAGACACGGUCCAGACUCCUACGGGAGGCAGCAGUGGGGAAUAAUGGGCAAUGGGCGCAAGCCUGAUCCAGCCAUACCGCGUGGGUGAAGAAGGCCUUCGGGUUGUAAAGCCCUUUUGUUGGGAAAGAAAUCCAGCUGGCUAAUACCCGGUUGGGAUGACGGUACCCAAAGAAUAAGCACCGGCUAACUUCGUGCCAGCCGCCGCAGUAA